GGCCGCGCAGCGCAGGCUCCAGAAGGCCGGCGUCACCGCCAGCUUGCAUCGCAUCCCUGAAGUUUAAUGGCUGUGAACACGGUGAUCGCGGGCUUUUUAGAGGGCAUUAUAUUAGUGUGACCGCCGAUAAGGAAACCGAGGUUCAAGGUCACAUACCUAGGCCUACACUGGCUGCAUGGUCCACAAGUACGGUCUUAGGAGUUUUGCACUUUGGAAUUUAGCCUGCAGCAGAGAUGAAGAGGAGGAAGAAGACCCACAUAAAAGAGUUCUUCAGCUUCAGAAAGUUUGAAAAGCAUAAUUACAUUGAGACUCUGGU
Long non-coding RNA from Neofelis nebulosa (Clouded leopard), 316 nucleotides. RefSeq lists it as uncharacterized. The transcript has 3 exons. Lineage: Eukaryota; Metazoa; Chordata; Mammalia; Carnivora; Felidae. The record is from RefSeq and is a predicted model, not a curated record.